GACAGAGGGGGCAAGCGUUGCUCGGAAUUACUGGGCGUAAAGGGCGCGUAGGCGGGCUGGCAAGUCGGUCGUGAAAUCCCUCGGCUCAACUGAGGAGCGUCGAUCGAAACUGCCGUUCUUGAGGGUUGCAGAGGAGACUGGAAUUCCCGGUGUAGCGGUGAAAUGUGUAGAGAUCGGGAGGAACACCGGUGGCGAAGGCGGGUCUCUGGGCAACUCCUGACGCUGAGGCGCGAAAGCGUGGGGAGCAAACGGG
Molecule: ribosomal RNA, 253 nt
Filed under: uncultured bacterium
Lineage: Bacteria
Description: partial 16S ribosomal RNA
Rfam family: Bacterial small subunit ribosomal RNA
Source: RNAcentral